RNAcentral lists this ribosomal RNA (795 nucleotides) under uncultured bacterium. Its description in RNAcentral is "bacterial SSU rRNA". It matches the Rfam family "Bacterial small subunit ribosomal RNA", at positions 57 to 873 of the family's 1533-position model. The record is from RNAcentral.
GCAAGUCGAACGGGGAGUAGCAAUACUUCUAGUGGCGAACGGGUGAGUAACGCGUUGGUGACCUGCCCCGAAGUGUGGGAUAACAGUCCGAAAGGAUUGCUAAUACCGCAUAGUGUCUAGAGGAUUAGAGGCCUAUAGACGAAGGGAGACAUUCGCUUCGGGAGGGACCUGCGUCCCAUCAGCUAGUUGGUAGGGUAACGGCCUACCAAGGCGAUGACGGGUAGGGGACCUGAGAGGGUGGCCCCCCACAAUGGAACUGAAACACGGUCCAUACACCUACGGGUGGCAGCAGCAGGGAAUAUUGCAAAAUGGGCGCAAGCCCGAUGCAGCAACGCCGCGUGGGCGAUGAAGGCCUUCGGGUCGUAAAGCCCUUUUUGAGGGGAUGAGGAAGGACAGUACCCUCAGAAUAAGCCUCGGCUAACUACGUGCCAGCAGCCGCGGUAAAACGUAGGAGGCGAGCGUUAUCCGGAUUUACUGGGCGUAAAGCGCGUGCAGGCGGAUUGGAGAGUUGGAUGUGAAAGCUCCCGGCUUAACUGGGAGAGGUCGUUCAAUACUUCCAGUCUUGAGUGCAGUAGAGGGAAGUGGAAUUCCGGGUGUAGUGGUGAAAUGCGUAGAUAUCCGGAGGAACACCAGUGGCGAAAGCGGCUUCCUGGACUGUAACUGACGCUCAGACGCGAAAGCUAGGGUAGCAAACGGGAUUAGAGACCCCGGUAGUCCUAGCCGUAAACGAUGUAGACUUGGCGUAGUCGGGUUUAAAUCCGACUGUGCCGCAGCUAACGCGAUAAGUCUACCGCC